Molecule: ribosomal RNA, 470 nt
Filed under: uncultured bacterium
Lineage: Bacteria
Description: partial 16S ribosomal RNA
Rfam family: Bacterial small subunit ribosomal RNA
Source: RNAcentral
GACGAACGCUGGCGGCGUGCUUAACACAUGCCAGUCGAACGAGAUCCCAUGUGUAGCAAUACACAGGAAGAUCUAGUGGCGAACGGGUGAGGAACACGUGAGAAACGUACCCCAGACUUUGGGAUAACAGUCCGAAAGGACUGCUAAUACCAAAUAACGUCGGAAGUCCGCAUGGACAUCUGACGAAAGGGAUUCCGGUUUGGGAGCGUCUCGCGGACCUAUCAGCUAGUUGGAGGGGUAACGGCCCUCCAAGGCAACGACGGGUAGCUGGUCUGAGAGGAUGGUCAGCCACACUGGGACUGAGACACGGCCCAGACUCCUACGGGAGGCAGCAGUGGGGAAUCUUGCGCAAUGGGCGAAAGCCUGACGCAGCAACGCCGCGUGCGGGAAGAAGGCUUUCGGGCUGUAAACCGCUUUCAGUAGGAACGAAACUGACGGUACCUACAGAAGAAGGAGCGGCCAACUAUGUG